AAUCAACCGAGAUUCCCCCAGUAGCGGCGAGCGAACGGGGAGCAGCCCAGAGCCUGAAUCAGUGUGUGUGUUAGUGGAAGCGUCUGGAAAGGCGCGCGAUACAGGGUGACAGCCCCGUACACAAAAAUGCACAUGCUGUGAGCUCGAUGAGUAGGGCGGGACACGUGGUAUCCUGUCUGAAUAUGGGGGGACCAUCCUCCAAGGCUAAAUACUCCUGACUGACCGAUAGUGAACCAGUACCGUGAGGGAAAGGCGAAAAGAACCCCGGCGAGGGGAGUGAAAAAGAACCUGAAACCGUGUACGUACAAGCAGUGGGAGCACGCUUAGGCGUGUGACUGCGUACCUUUUGUAUAAUGGGUCAGCGACUUAUAUUCUGUAGCAAGGUUAACCGAAUAGGGGAGCCGAAGGGAAACCGAGUCUU
Molecule: ribosomal RNA, 421 nt
Filed under: Escherichia coli
Lineage: Bacteria; Pseudomonadati; Pseudomonadota; Gammaproteobacteria; Enterobacterales; Enterobacteriaceae
Description: partial 23S ribosomal RNA
Rfam family: Bacterial large subunit ribosomal RNA
Source: RNAcentral